CCUACGGGAGGCAGCAGUAGGGAAUAUUGCUCAAUGGGGGAAACUCUGAAGCAACAACGCCGCGUGGAGGAUGAAGGUUUUAGGAGUGUAAACUCCUUUUGUGACAGAAGAUAAUGACGGUAUCCCACGAAUAAGCACCGGCUAACUCCGUGCCAGCAGCCGCGGUAAUACGGAGGGUGCAAGCGUUACUCGGAUUCACUGGGCGUAAAGCGUGCGCAGGCGGGCUUGUAAGUCAGAUGUGAAAUCCUGUGGCUUAACUACAGAACUGCAUUUGAAACUAUGAGUCUAGAGAGUGGGCGAGGUAGGUGGAAUUCUUGGUGUAGGGGUAAAAUCCGUAGAGAUCA
This 344-nucleotide ribosomal RNA is filed under the name uncultured bacterium. RNAcentral describes it as "partial 16S ribosomal RNA". It matches the Rfam family "Bacterial small subunit ribosomal RNA", at positions 338 to 699 of the family's 1533-position model. The record is from RNAcentral.